Non-coding RNA from Ceratotherium simum simum (southern white rhinoceros), 367 nucleotides. The record is from RefSeq and is a predicted model, not a curated record. Lineage: Eukaryota; Metazoa; Chordata; Mammalia; Perissodactyla; Rhinocerotidae.
CCCCUCAGGAGCUCGGUGGCUGGGCCUUCCUGCUGUCCCCUGAGCCACCUCUACCUCCCCUUGUUGGGCCUGUGUGGCUGCCUCCCUCGAGGAAGGCACAGUGGCUCUUUUUCCUCCUCCUGAGGCCAGAUGUGGGAAGGGAGGGGAGCUAGAUUGGAGCUAUGGGCUUGGGAAGGUGUCCAAUCUCACAUCUGACACCUGGAAGCAGGUUCUGAGGACCUACUGAACACACUAGAACUCAGGUGGGGGUGGGAGUCCCCAGAUCAGACCGUAGGCUGGUCUUUAGUGCUUGGUUCACAUUACACUGGCUUCAACCUCCUUCAGGCCCUGGGCUCCUGUCCUGAAGAGUCCUGAGCCCUGGGUUUCC